Cricetulus griseus (Chinese hamster) is the source of this 543-nucleotide non-coding RNA. Lineage: Eukaryota; Metazoa; Chordata; Mammalia; Rodentia; Cricetidae. The record is from RefSeq and is a predicted model, not a curated record.
UGACAGCCCAGAAGAGUUGGGGACAAAGCGCAUCUGCAGGAUCAUCACGAAGGAUUUCCCCCAGUAUUUUGCCGUGGUUUCCCGGAUUAAGCAGGAAAGCAACCAGAUCGGUCCUGAGGGUGGGAUUCUGAGCAGCACCACCGUGCCCCUGGUCCAGGCAUCUUUCCCAGAGGGUGCCUUAACCAAAAGGAUCCGAGUGGGUCUCCAGGCUCAGCCUGUUCCAGAGGAGAUUGUGAAAAAGAUUCUUGGAAACAAAGCAACAUUUAGCCCAAUUGUCACUGUGGAACCAAGGAGAAGGAAAUUCCAUAAGCCAAUCACCAUGACCAUUCCGGUGCCCCCACCCUCAGGAGAAGGCGUGUCCAAUGGGUACAAGGGGGACAACACACCCAACCUUCGUCUCCUCUGUAGCAUAACAGGGGGCACCUCGCCGGCUCAAUGGGAAGACAUCACAGGAACCACCCCUCUGACCUUCAUAAAGGAGUGUGUGUCUUUCACAACCAAUGUUUCAGCCAGGUAUGGACGUGAAAGUUCCAGAAGCAUCAC